RNAcentral lists this ribosomal RNA (253 nucleotides) under uncultured bacterium. RNAcentral's name for it is "partial 16S ribosomal RNA". It matches the Rfam family "Bacterial small subunit ribosomal RNA", at positions 524 to 776 of the family's 1533-position model. The record is from RNAcentral.
UACAGAGGGUGCAAACGUUGUUCGGAAUUACUGGGCGUAAAGCGCGUGCAGGCGGCCUUGUAAGUCGGGUGUGAAAUCCCUCGGCCCAACCGAGGAACUGCGCCCGAGACUGCUUCUCUUGAGUCCCGGAGAGGAAGAUGGAAUUCCCGGUGUAGCGGUGAAAUGUGUAGAGAUCGGGAGGAACACCGGUGUCGAAGGCGGUCUUCUGGACGGUGACUGACGCUGAGGCGCGAAAGCGUGGGGAGCAAACGGG